RNAcentral lists this ribosomal RNA (225 nucleotides) under uncultured Pseudomonas sp. RNAcentral's name for it is "partial 16S ribosomal RNA". It matches the Rfam family "Bacterial small subunit ribosomal RNA", at positions 1158 to 1382 of the family's 1533-position model. The record is from RNAcentral. Lineage: Bacteria; Pseudomonadati; Pseudomonadota; Gammaproteobacteria; Pseudomonadales; Pseudomonadaceae.
UAAAGUAGGAGGAAGGUGGGGAUGACGUCAAGUCAUCAUGGCCCUUACGGCCUGGGCUACACACGUGCUACAAUGGUCGGUACAAAGGGUUGCCAAGCCGCGAGGUGGAGCUAAUCCCAUAAAACCGAUCGUAGUCCGGAUCGCAGUCUGCAACUCGACUGCGUGAAGUCGGAAUCGCUAGUAAUCGUGAAUCAGAAUGUCACGGUGAAUACGUUCCCGGGCCUU